CCUACGGGAGGCAGCAGUGAGGAAUAUUGGUCAAUGGACGAGAGUCUGAACCAGCCAAGUAGCGUGAAGGAUGACUGCCCUAUGGGUUGUAAACUUCUUUUAUAAAGGAAUAAAACGAGGCACGUGUGCCUUUUUGCAUGUACUUUAUGAAUAAGGAUCGGCUAACUCCGUGCCAGCAGCCGCGGUAAUACGGAGGAGCCGAGCGUUAUCCGGAUUUGUUGGGUUUAAAGGGAGCGUAGAUGGGUUGUUAAGUCAGUUGUGAAAGUUUGCGGCUCAACCGUAAAAUUGCAAUUGAUACUGGCAGUCUUGAGUACAGUUGAGGUAGGCGGAAUUCGUGGUGUAGCGGUGAAAUGCUUAGAUAUCACGAAGAACCCCGAUUGCGAAGGCAGCUUACUAAACUGUGACUGACAUUGAUGCUCGAAAGUGUGGGUAUCAAACAGGAUUAGAUACCCGAGUAGUC
RNAcentral lists this ribosomal RNA (460 nucleotides) under uncultured bacterium. RNAcentral describes it as "partial 16S ribosomal RNA". It matches the Rfam family "Bacterial small subunit ribosomal RNA", at positions 338 to 795 of the family's 1533-position model. The record is from RNAcentral.